UACAGGAGGGUGCGAGCGUUGUUCGGAAUUAUUGGGCGUAAAGGGCGCGUAGGCGGCGCCACAAGUCACUUGUGAAAACUCUGGGCUCAACCCAGAGCCUGCAGGCGAAACUGUGGUGCUGGAGUAUGGGAGAGGUGCGUGGAAUUCCCGGUGUAGCGGUGAAAUGCGUAGAUAGUCGGGAGGAACACCUGUGGCGAAAGCGGCGCACUGGACCAUAACUGACGCUGAGGCGCGAAAGCUAGGGGAGCAAACAGG
This 255-nucleotide ribosomal RNA is filed under the name uncultured bacterium. RNAcentral's name for it is "partial 16S ribosomal RNA". It matches the Rfam family "Bacterial small subunit ribosomal RNA", at positions 524 to 776 of the family's 1533-position model. The record is from RNAcentral.